AAAAUAUCCUUAGGUCUCUCUAUCACAAAAAAAAACAUCAUUCACUACUAUAGCUUCGUUCUCAUCAUCAAAUUAACAUGGUCAAAGCUAUCAGAGUUCAUCAAAUUGGUGGCAUUCAGGUUUUGAAGUGGGAGGAUGUGGAAAUUGGAGAGCC
Non-coding RNA from Arachis ipaensis, 154 nucleotides. The record is from RefSeq and is a predicted model, not a curated record. NCBI's taxonomy places the organism in Eukaryota, Viridiplantae, Streptophyta, Magnoliopsida, Fabales, Fabaceae.